CCGAGUUGUUGACAGCGACAUCUGGUGUUUGCGUGGGUUUUACACCCCUGUCGUCUGCUGGACAGCCGAAUCAGGCAGUUUGAUACAGAUUGUGUUUAAAUAUCGCUACUCUCCUAACUUUAAAAGCAAAGUUGAGAAUGGAAAAGCUAGAAUUUGUGCUGAUAAUUUCAAGGAUGAAGAUAUUCAAAGGGCCAAUAAAAAAGUUGGAUUAAGUUUGGAGCAUCACCCACAAAAUUAUUGCCAAGAAAAUCACAUGAAGUACCUCCCUGGCCACCAGGAAGAAUUGUUCCCAAAUAUUCAUCUAUAAAUGACUGUCCACCUUCAUCAUCUCAAUCUGCAAUUAUUAACUACAAUUCCAUCAAUGAAAUAAUUUCAGCUUUUGAAAAACUGGAGAAUACAUUAAAUCAAUACAUACAAAGCUCAUUUCACAUACUAUUUUAAUCACAGUUUACAGGCGACGUCGGAAAUGAGCCUUCUAAUUUGCCAAUUUGACCAAAAACAAUUUUCCUUUUCUUGCGCUUUCGCUGGAGUUUAUUCUCCCACAAUAUCACCGGCAAUUUCAAUCCUACUCAAAAACUUGGUUGAUCUCACCCCGAGUUUGGGAUAUGAUAUUGUUUCCACAAAAAGUUCAUGGAUUCCCAAAAGUGUUCCAGAAAUAGAAGAUGAUGGCAGAAUUUCCUUGAAAUUAAGAUAUAUCAGCUCUCAAUGUGAAAUAUUGUAUUUUUAUGCUGGUACACGACCCAACAUCUGCUACACUUGUAUGCAUCUCCAUGUGCAUGAUCAAGACAGUGACAAGAGAAAAUUCAGCCUUUUUACAACAUCUAUGAUAAAAGAUCAGUAUGGCUUGAGAAAGAUUUUCUAAAAUACCUGGAUAUUGGGAAGAAAAGGCAUACAGUCGGCCAUUAGUGGAAGAAGUUAAUCACCAGAAAAUGCUGCUCAGUGAUGCCACAAAAAAUGGCUUGAGAAUGGCAUCUAUUUCCAUGGCUGCGAUUAUUCGUAUUGUUUUGGACAGUGGUGCGAGCUAUGUUUUACCACGGCGAAUGAACCAAGACCCUCUAGAGCAGGGGGCUGCAACUACUUUUCAUACUACCUUUCAUACUCAUUUUUGUACCUAAUUUCUUGGUUUGCGGCCCGCGUGGCCAAUAAAUUUCAAAAAGUGGCCCGCGACAUGUUUUGAAUUGGAGACCCCUGCUAUUUUGGUCACCAACGCGAGCGAGGUCCCAAGUUUGUGCUCCCACAAUUAUCAAUGAACAUUGUUAUUUAAAGUUAACUAUUGCUCUACAACCGAAUAUUUCUCUGUAUGCUCUAUGUCGCUCUUUUAUUUCCGUUGAUGUGGACAAAUGUAAUUUUUACAGUUGUUUUCAAGAGAAAUUCGAGCUAAAUAUCUACUAAAGGUGUUUUUCAGAUUGAUCUAUCCGAGCCGUGGUAGCAAUAUUCCCGUUUGUGAGUGGGCCGUGGGAAAUUUUUAACCAGUUUUCACCCAAUCAUAACCCCCCCCCCUCAUAAAAAAUUUGAGAAAAAACUUGUCUAUAUACCACUUCUCACGAAGCACAUUACCGAAUAACUAAUGCAAUUUUGCGGUUUGCGGUUUAUGUUACGCCCGACAUAGGGAUGAACAAUCAAUUUGGAAUUGAGAGUGCAGAAUGCGCUUCAACUAAGAACAUAAGAUUCAUUAAAAGCAAAUAUUUGAAUGAACUGCUCAUUUUAACAUUUGCCAAGGCACCCGACGUGUAACAGGAACAUCUCGCCUAACUACACAGGUCAUGUAGCAUUUUUUGUUUUUAGUCUCAAUUUUCCUUUUUUAUUCAAAUUUUCCAAGAUUUCCUGAAACAUACUAAUCAGUUUAAAAUGUCUAGAAUGUAGGAAACUUGGUUAUGUUUUGUUUAUCACCAUAAGAACAACCGUCAUACGAUAAACAAAAACAAUGGUGGUAACUGGCAUCCAACGUCGCUUAAUCUUGUCUCUGGUAUAACUCUCAUAGUCUUUCCGCUGCAAAUAUAUAUAUACCUUUUAUUCAUGUAAUAAGAUGGUAAUAAGCAGCUGGAGUCGUUUUCUUCUAUUAACUAGAGUGACAAUGAGUUACCGGGUCGCUUAAAUGUAUCUCAAAGCCUGGCUUUUGUUAGUAUUUUAUAUUUGACUUUUUUUCAUAAUGAUUCAAUGUUAGACUCACUCCCUCAUAAGUGACGCUGCUCAAUAACCAACACUGGUUUAUCGCGUCUCCCUUCACACUGAAACGCUUUUUUUACUUUAAUUAUAUUUGCCCAUUGUGUACUUUCGGCAUGUGAUAAAAUAAACUACUGACUGUAAAAUAAACUAAAACAAUGGGAGAUGAUGUCUAUAUGUAUGAAACAUAGUUUCAUUGUGAUAGUUUCUUCAUUGUUUUAAACACAUGUAAACAUCUACAAUAGGAUAUAUGUGCAUAUGUGUAAGUUAUGAAAUGCCCCUAUGUGAUUGUGUGAUGUCCCUUGUGCAAUUGUUCAUUUGUAUUGUUACAAAAAAAAACAUUUUGAAACAAUAUUGAUUUUCAAUUCAGCGAUUCAGACAAGUAUAUAUAUAUACCUGAUAAUAGUGAAAUAAUUCAAUUACAGUUUAAGAAUUAGAGUAAAUGCAAAGGCCAAAUAAAGUCACCAACACAAAGUCCAUCGGAAACUGUUUACAAGCAAGCAUGCCAACGAAAUAUUCCAGUUCUGGAGGAAUACAACAUUAACCUUCAUUAUAAGACGAAGCAUUCUUCAGAUUAUGAUCAGUUGACGCGCGUAUAUCAAAAUUUAAUUCAUUGCUAAAUUCAUACAAAGGUCAAACAAACAUGUUCAAAGAAAUAUCAAAUGAAAGUGAAUCUACGUUUUUGGCCAGUUAUAUUGUAGCCCGCAACAUCGAAAAGAAUCGCCCGUUUGUUAAAGGGGAAUUUUUCCGCGAAUAUAUGCUGCAAGUUUUGGAAAACAUUUCUCCUGAUGUGAAAAGUAACUUUUCCUAUGAACCUAACAAAACAAGCCACAAGAAGCCAUUUAUACGGAGCCGCAUGCUAGUUCAGCAAGUAACUUCAUUAGUCACUAUCGGUUGCAAAUUUAUUGUUAAAACCGUGCUUGUUAUUUAUUCCUCGGGUAUUCUAUCACCUAACUAUGUAAUUAUUAAUUUUAUUACAUAAGAAACUCCGAUGCUAGGUGUAUCUAAAAUCGAUCUUGCAGUUUAUUUUAGUUCCUAUGUUUCAAAAUUUUCUCCGGGCGCUUGAGCGCGCCCUGAACCCCAGUCGUGCCGUCGUGCCCUUUUCGCCGCUCCCCUUUUUUGGCCCGCGAAUAUUCUUUUGCUUCAAUUUUUGGUCCGCGAUCAAUCAACUUUCGGAACUCCCUGGUGUAGAUCGUUUGCCAAAUACAUAACCAAUUUUUAUGAUUUACAAAAUAUUUACGACCCCCUCGGGGACUGUCUAUAUUAGCCAAGUGAAUAUACCUUCUGCCUAUAGGUUUCAGUCCAUUUACACAACUUGAUGUAAAGUAGGCAAACAAAAUUAGUUACCUUCAUAUCGGUACACAUAGCCUACUUCUGGAGCGCCAAAAAUUCAACAUUUGGAUAAUUGCAGGUAAUUCUCUUCCAAAAUGCCAGAAAUUUGUGGGAAUUGCAAAAGUUAGACUAAAAUAAAUAAUAUAAACGACAGAAUUGCUUGGAUGACCUAAUUCGAUAAAAUAAUAUGAUGAUUCAAAUUGCUAAACCUAAAAAGUGUUAAUCAUAAAUGUGUUAAGUUAAUAUUUUUAAAAGGUAUGACAAAGGUGGUCUUGAGUUAUUUCUAUAAAAAUAUUUUUAUCUUUUUGUGCUCUAUCUGUGUGCGUGAAUGUUGGGUUAUGGAAUGUGCGAUUGAAGGUUUCCCAAUUUGUAAUGUUAUAUCGUGCUAGUUUGAUAGUUUUUUUGCAUGAUUCAUGAGUAAAUGAUGGCUGUCGCAUCUUAUUAGUCGCGAACAGGCUUGUCGUCGAAUCUCGCAGGUCCAGUCGGAUUUUCUUUUUUAGACGAGUAUGAAAAUCUUAUCCAAACUCAUUGUCAUUGCAAACAAUCAGAGUGACCAACAUAAAAUUGAUUGAUUGAUUGAAACCCCAAAUGUGUAGGUUAAACUGCCCCUUUGGUAUGUUUUGCCAAUGACAUUAAACAAUUGAUGUCAAUGUGUUUUUUUUAUUGAUUCUCAUAAAAUAAAACAAUAUUGCAAUA
Molecule: non-coding RNA, 4191 nt
Organism: Styela clava
Lineage: Eukaryota; Metazoa; Chordata; Ascidiacea; Stolidobranchia; Styelidae
Source: RefSeq, a predicted model, not a curated record